Molecule: long non-coding RNA, 396 nt
Organism: Populus euphratica (Euphrates poplar)
Lineage: Eukaryota; Viridiplantae; Streptophyta; Magnoliopsida; Malpighiales; Salicaceae
Exons: 3
Source: RefSeq, a predicted model, not a curated record
GGUGAAUCUGUUAAAUUCCAUGGAAAUUCUCUUAUCUGGAAGAUGGAAAAUGAUUUGAAAAGAAGAUAUUGGGCAUGGUCUAAAAAUAUAGAGCAGAGAUCUCUUUAACAACUCAUAAUCAUUGAAUUGGAAGAGCUCCUACUCUCAUUGAUAAAGAGAAGAUAUCAAAUUGAAGACUGUCUGUUAGUAGAAACACCAAGGUUUAUCAUUCAACGCACAAUCUCAUUAACAAUAUGCAAUCAAUUUGAAAAGCCUCUGGAUGUCUGAUAACAUGCAAGAUACUGGAAAAUGAAUCAAGAAAGAGGUGACUAUUCAAAGUUAGAAACAUUGUAAGCAAUUUAUAGUGCUCUAGCCUGCAUAUCCAUGAUUAAAAAAAAAACAAAAUUCAACAGGAAC